UUAAUCGUUCGGUUAAAAAUAAAUCUGCUGCCCCAUUUUAAUUACCACAAUUAUUGUUCAAAAUUACAUUUUAUAUAGAAUAAGGGUAUUUCGGUAACUGUGCAAAUUAGUAAAAAUGGCAACCACCGAAUUUUACUCCCAUUUAUCUCAUUUCAUCUCCCCCCACCCCAUUUUACUCCCAAUAUACCCUACAAUCGGUAACUUCUCUCUUCCCCUGCCUGUUCUUGGUUCCGGCGGCUGUCCAUAGCAGAGCGCGCGUCGCUGCGAUCGGCGAUGAUACUCUGCGCGGCGGGUUUCCAAGUUUUUCGACAAGAAUUAGUUUCCAUUUACAGAUUUUCGACCAUCUAUUCUAUUUUCAAUUGUUCAUUGAAUCAUUUUUUUUCCGAUUAUUUCGUAGUUCUUGGUCGACGAUUUGGAAUAGAGGUUUUCUGCUUGAAGAUACAGCGUGGCUGAAAUCAAACAGGUAAGUCGUUUUGUUUUUUAUUUUUGUUCGAAUUUUUUGUUGACUUUUAGGGGUUUUAAAUCGAACAAGAUUUAAGAUUUUCGAUAAUUAAUGGUUUCCAAAAUCAAAAUCAAAAUUUUUAAUUGGGUUUUAAAUGUAUCAAACGAAAUCAAAAAGUGAUAGUGUUUAUGUGAUUCUAUAUUCGGGUUUUCAAUUAUUUUAGAUUAAUAGUUUUCAACUAUCUGGAUUUUCAAUUUUUGUUGCAGUUUGUUUGAUUAGGGUUUAUGUAAUAGGAUUUUCGGAUGGCUUCUGGAAAGGGGAAAUAGAAAGCUCGGAUGGUAUGAGUGUGUGUUCGAAAUAUUUUGAUUUUUGUUCGUAAUUUUAAGAUUCAAAGUUCAAUGUUUCUAAUAUAUGUUUCAAGCAGUGGAUAUUCGGAUUGUUUUGGUCCAGUUUUGUGAUUCUAUAUUUGGGGACUGAUUUUUCUAUAACAAUUUAUCUCACUUUAUCUCCAUUAAAUUCUCCAACAUGUAAAUUGCGGCAUUUUCUACUGAUUUCAUGGUUGUUGGGGCACCUUCUUUUUGCCCCUUAAUUUUAAUUAUUACGAAAGAUCGUGGUUUGCUGAGAAAUCACUCUUUGUAUUGAUAAUUGUGUUGUAGAUUCAAGAAAUGGAUGGUGCUAUAAGAUGAAUGCAAUUUCUAUGAACCAUUUCGAUUUUCCAGUAUUUUUUUAAUAGAAUAUAUGUGCUGAUUUUGUCAUCCAUCACCCCUAUGUUGCAGAGCUUAUCAGGUUCAGCCAGUUCAGACAGCAUAUAACUCCACAUCCUCUGAUAAUGAUUAUCAGAUUAAGGGCUUUGAUUUUUACUAGUUUGUCGAUGCAUAGUGUGAUACAAAGAGACUAUGUGGGUGAUGAUUAUGAAUGUUGAAGAGACUGAAUUCGAAUUGAUCAUUAGGUUUUUUGAAACAAGAGUGUUUUGUUUGAUUGAUGAACUAUUUCUCUAAUGUCAUUGUAAUAUGUAGCAGUUAUGUUGCCUGGGUGAGAGGUUUGCGAAGAGUUAAUGUUGGUUUGAUUUUUCAUUUGAGUUUCUAUUCAUCAAAGAGUUCUAUUAUGUUCAUUUAGAAUUUUGUUCUGUUCAUUGUAAAAUAUAAAUAUUUGAGGUUUGCGAAGAGUUUAUGUUGGUUUAUUUUUUUCUUACUAACAUAAAGCAUUUUGAAAUGUAAAAUAUUCAACAUAAAAAUUUUCGAACAAGCUUAAAACAAUUAUGAACAUCUGAAUAAAAUUUUGAUUUUUUCUUACUAACAUAAAAUAUUUGACAUAAAGCAUUUCGAACAAGCGUAAAAAAUUUACGAACACCUAAAUAAAAUAUUUGAAUAUUUCUUACUAACAUAAAAUAUUGGACGUAAUAUUUGACAUAAAGAAAUUUCGAACAAGCGUAAAAAAAUUACGAACACCUACAUAAAAUAUUUGAAUUUUUCUUACUAACAUAAAUAUUUGACAGAAGCAUUUCGAACAAGUGUAAAAAAAAAAUUACGAACACCUAAACAAAAUAUCCGAAUUUUUCUUACUGACAAUUCCUAACAAUAACAUAAGAAUUAUAUUCAUGAACAUCUGAAUAAAAUUUCGAUUUUUUCUUACUAACAUAAAAUAUUUGACAUAAAGCAUUUCGAAUAAGCGUAAAAAAUUUACGAACACCUAAAUAAAAUAUUUGAAUAUUUCUUACUAACAUAAAAUAUUGGACGUAAUAUUCGACAUAAAGAAAUUUCAAACAAACGUAAAAAAAUUACGAACACCUACAUAAAAUAUUUGAAUUUUUCUUAUUAACAUAAAUAUUUGACAUAAGCAUUUUGAACAAGACGUAAAAAAUUUACGAACACCUAAACUUAUUGAAUUACAUAUAUAGCCUUUCGGCUAUAAUUAAGGAAAAGAAACAGAAAAAAAAAAAUCGGCCAUUGGAUUGAUAAUUUUGGAGGCUCCAGAUUAAUUCUUCUUUCUCUACAUAUUUGUCAUUAUCUGUUUAACCUUUCUCUCUCUAUAUAUAUAUAAAUAGUUAACUAAUGAAAAUAGGUUGAUUACAUAUAUAGACAUACGUGCCUACCUUAUAUAUAUCGCAAAUUAUUGGGUGCGACCGUCGCACAGCUGUGCGACGGGUCGACCCGGCUCCAAACCUGCCCUCCUGACCCGGAACCCUGACCCGCGUGGGUUUGACCCAUACUCCUAAUUAUUACAUUUGUUUAUAAUAAUUGUUACCUUUAAUAAACAUAAUAUAUACAUUUGUUCAUAUAAAUGUAUAUUGAUAUGUAUAAUGUUUUAUAUUGAAUGAAGGUAAAUAUUUAUAUUAAUAUAAGUAUACAUUUGUGCGACCAAAUGUAUAUCUUAUACUUAUUAAAAGUAAAUACUCCUAUUAGGGUUUAGUNUGCGAUCGGCGAUGAUACUCUGCGCGGCGGGUUUCCAAGUUUUUCGACAAAAAUUAGUUUCCAUUUACAGAUUUUCGACCAUCUCUUCUAUUUUCGAUUGUUCAUUGAAUCAUUUUUUUUUCCGAUUAUUUCGUAGUUCUUGGUCGACAAUUUGGAAUAGAGGUUUUCUGCUUGAAGAUACAGCGUGGCUGAAAUCAAACAGGUAAGUCGUUUUGUUUUUUAUUUUUGUUCGAAUUUUUUGUUGACUUUUAGGGGUUUUAAAUCGAACAAGAUUUAAGAUUUUCGAUAAUUAAUGGUUUCCAAAAUCAAAAUCAAAAUUUUUAAUUGGGUUUUAAAUGUAUCAAACGAAAUCAAAAAGUGAUAGUGUUUAUGUGAUUCUAUAUUCGGGUUUUCAAUUAUUUUAGAUUAAUAGUUUUCAACUGUCUGGAUUUUCAAUUUUUGUUGCAGUUUGUUUGAUUAGGGUUUAUGUAAUAGGAUUUUCGGAUGGCUUCUGGAAAGGGGAAAUAGAAAGCUCGGAUGGUAUGAGUGUGUGUUCGAAAUAUUUUGAUUUUUGUUCGUAAUUUUAAGAUUCAAAGUUCAAUGUUUCUAAUAUAUGUUUCAAGCAGUGGAUAUUCGGAUUGUUUUGGUCCAGUUUUGUGAUUCUAUAUUUGGGGACUGAUUUUUCUAUAACAAUUUAUCUCACUUUAUCUCCAUUAAAUUCUCCAACAUGUAAAUUGCGGCAUUUUCUACUGAUUUCAUGGUUGUUGGGGCACCUUCUUUUUGCCCCCUUAAUUUUAAUUAUUACGAAAGAUCGUGGUUUGCUGAGAAAUCACUCUUUGUAUUGAUAAUUGUGUUGUAGAUUCAAGAAAUGGAUGGUGCUAUAAGAUGAAUGCAAUUUCUAUGAACCAUUUCGAAUUUUCAGUUUUUUUAAUAGAAUAUAUGUGCUGAUUUUGUCAUCCAUCACCCCUGUGCUGCAGAGCUUAUCAGGUUCAGCCAGUUCAGACAACAUAUAACUCCACAUCCUCUGAUAAUGAUUAUCAGAUUAAGGGCUUUGAUUUUUACUAGUUUGUCGAUGCAUAGUGUGAUACAAAGAGACUAUGUGGGUGAUGAUUAUGAAUGUUGAAGAGACUGAAUUCGAACUGAUCAUUAGGUUUUUUGAAACAAGAGUGUUUUGUUUGAUUGAUGAACUAUUUCUCUAAUGUCAUUGUAAUAUGUAGCAGUUAUGUUGCCUGGGUGAAAGGUUUGCGAAGAGUUAAUGUUGGUUUAAUUUUUCAUUUGAGUUUCUGUUCAUCAAAGAGUUGUAUUAUGUUCAUUUAGAAUUUUGUUAUGUUCAUUGUAAAAUAUAAAUAUUUGAGGUUUGCGAAGAGUUUAUGUUGGUUUA
This 4213-nucleotide long non-coding RNA is filed under the name Salvia miltiorrhiza (redroot sage). RNAcentral's name for it is "long non-coding RNA (SMIL_LNC012028)". The record is from RNAcentral. Lineage: Eukaryota; Viridiplantae; Streptophyta; Magnoliopsida; Lamiales; Lamiaceae.